GGGGAAUCACUCUCACCUGCGGCAGUCGCCACAUGAUCCACAGCCGCACUGGAAGUGGCAAUGGCCCCUUGGCCAAGUCUAGCUUUAUUAUUAGGUGCCAUCACUGAAUAUUUGAAAUAGAGCACGAAUUAGACACAACAUCACUUCACGCACGAACUUGGAAUAACAAAGAAGAGAAUAGUUUUUCCUAAAUGUCCGUGUAACCCCGAACUUAUUGAUGUGGUCGACAACACACCGAUAAGAAGGGAUCUACUAGGCACGGCUCCGAGACAUCCUAGGACUCCUAUAAAACCCUAGGCUCUAAUAAAAAGUUUGUCACGCCCCAAAUCUGAGGGACAUGACCGGCACUCAAUCGGGUAUCCCCGGUUAAGUGGACCUGGGUGCCUUUCUUAUUCCCCACGCGCUACCCCACAUUAUUCAGUGUUCAUUGGCCAAAAUAUACCAAAUGCAAUUGAAAGUAAAUGUGAAUUCUCUUUUAUAAGCACACAUUAUGAUAAACAGGGAACAUCUUUUACAAAACACACAUUUUGAUUAAUAGAGAACGUGGUGUACAACUUACAGCGCCCAAAACAUACACCUAUAUACAUAAGUUCUAACCCAUAUAACACUAUCUAUGGAGCCUCUAAGAGAAAGAUAAUACAACACUUGCCGGCGAUAAGGCUCCGGCUAUACCUUUGCAAUGACAUCACAAAACUAUUAGUACAACAACAGAGGUGGCCUGAACCACGCAGGGCCCCAGAAAGAGGGGGGCUCACCAACAUGUACACAGCUAAUAGAAGGGAGGAAGAGCUAUGGACGGUGGGCUGGAGUGCCUGCUGCAGAUCCACCCCCCAUAAGGAAAGGGGCUCACCAACAUGUACACAUCUUAUAGAAAGGAGGAGGGGCUACGAACGGUGGACUGGAGUGUCUGCUGCGGAUCCACCUACAAUCAUAACACGAAUGUAGCCCCCCCCGGCAAAAGGGACGUCAGUACAUUUGAAUUGUACUGGCAUGUAUGAACAAACUCUAUCCCAAGUAAACUCAAGACGAAAAUACACAUACAAAGGGAAAACUAAACAACAAUAGCACGACAAUGGAACAACAACCAAGAAAUUCACAGCAAAUAAUACAAUUAGUCAAAUAAAGGGGCAAUCAGUGUCCCACAAGUUACAAACUCUCCUGCUGUCUCCUUUCACAAUUCCAUAUUGAUUAUUUCAUGAUUUAUAUACAUUUUAAUAGUGCUAUUGGAUCACAUUUUCUACCCUUAUUACCUCGUCCAUCCUUAUUACCUCAGUCACCCUUAUUACCCCAACCCACACAUUAUUUUUACCGUGUUGUGGCGCGCAACCCGACCCCGCCUGAAAGUUUCAGUUCACAAACAACAUACAACACAAAAACAAAUACAAGAAAUCAACUAAAGCACAUUGUUAAGAUAUAACCACAAUAAGAGGUAAAGUAUUUCCACAUCUAGCAAUUACAAUUUCCUCAUGUUCAUCAAUUUGUUCACAAUCCGAGUUACCACAAUGGAUGUCCAUAACCAACCAUGUGUUGUUACUACAAUAGUUUCGGCUUCACCAUUCAAGAAUUCUUUCAGUCACAUGAUCCUCAACCAUUGCCAUAAGAUGUCACCACACUAGUGUAAAUCACAAGAGUUUCACAAUAAAUUCCCCACAUGGAUAUCAAGUAAUAUCACAUAACAACCCAAGGCGAUUUCACAAGGAUCACAGUUAGCCAUAUAUACCUGGAAUUGAAUAUCUCUUUCUAACUUCCACUCCAAUUCACCAAGCAAUCAAGAUGGUUCAAUCUAGUUCAUGACUAAUACAUAGACCUUUAGAAUAGGAAUUCACAAUUUACUACCCAAUUCCCCUUUCACAAGAUUCUAGGGUUUUGAAGACAUGCAUGAAAGUUUUAUCAGGAAAUUAAAAAUCUAGUGCAUGUGGUUCUCUUCCGAAGCUUAGGUUUGAAAUAUUAGGGAAAAGGGUUAGGGAUUUUACCUGUGAAAUCAGAAGUGAAGACAAUGCACCAAAAUUCUUCGGGCUCCAAUGAUUUUGAAAGAUCAAUGGUUGGAAAAAUAGUUUUCUCUCUCAAGAACUUUCUCUUCCUCUCUCUUAUUUUGUUCAGAAAAUGGGUUAAAAAUGAGGGAUGGGACGUAUUAUUAAAGAUGGGUCGGGCUUAGAAUUUUAGAAAAUAACUAGGCGAGCUCAAUCUGCGAUGCAACUCUGCGAUCGCAGAACUGACUUUCGGUCCGCAGAAUGGGCCGCAGAUUGGUCCCAAGUUUUGGACCUCCUCAGGUUGGGAAUGCGGUGGAUAUGUGGUCCGCAUUCGUGUUCUACAUUCGUAGAAUGCACCGCAAAACUCUUCAAAAUUCUUCAGGGACCAUAUGCGAUCACAAUGCGGUCCGCAUAUUGAUUAUGUGACCACAGAUCUGACCGCAUUUUUUAAAUCAAAAUUGGUUGCUCUCUGGAAACUUCUGCGGCAGAAAUGCGGUGCGUAUUCCAUAUCUGCGACCGCAUUCUGGACCGCAGAUUGGACCUUUUUUGGAAAAAUUUCGAUUUCACAUUUUUAAGUGCAAAAGAGUAAAAACAAUAUGAUCCACGUAGGUAGACUCGACUCUAUGAGUUGCUAUCAUCUGAGUACUCAUUUUCACAGGGCAUUAUAGUUGAUGUCAUGCACUUAAUUUAAUUGCUUUUGGUGAGAAUGAGAGUAAAAAUACGAAGGUCGGUGUCGUGCAACUGUUAAUUUUCCUGCUCUCAUUAAGUAUUGUUGUUGCACAGUUUCUUGCUUUAAUUAUUGACUUUAUAUCCGGACUGUAUCUCCCACAAAGUAUGUUCCCCUCCCUCCUGACUAUUUAACUUUUGUACUCUUUCCUUUUAUUGCAUAUAUAUGUAUAUAUUACUGUCUAGCCUCCUCACUACUUUGUCGGGGUUAGUCCAGGCACUUACCAGCACAUGGGGUCGGUUGUGCUGAUGCUACACUCUGCACUUAUGUGCAGAUAUAAGAGCAGCUUACAAAGCGCAGCAGUAGUCGGGGAGCUAUCCUUCAGUCCAGGGACUUUCGAGGUUGCCUAGGUGACAUCCGUAGGCCGGAUUCCCUUCUAUGUUAUUAGUUUUUUUGUAGUACCAAGACAAACAUUGAUGUACUUCUAUUCAGACUUAUUGUUUUAGCACUCUUUAGUAGUUCGUGAGUUAGUUACACGGGAUCUGGGUAGAGUUAUAUUUAAACUUCCGCAUUUGGUUCUCAGUUAUCCAUAUUCUUAAAACUUCCGUUUUUAUUUAAAUGACUAAUUUUAUUAUAUUGUUGACAUGUUAUCAGGAAAUAUUUUAAUACUUGGCUUGCCUAUCUCCGAUAGUACGCGCCAUUAUGACUUCCGAUGGUGCGAAAUUUGGGUUGUGACAUUAAAUCAAGGCAAGCUCUUUCAUCAGGAAUCUGUCUAGCAAAAACUGCUCCAGAAUUACCACCUGAUGACUGGAGGUUAUCCCUACUCUGCACACCCUCAUUAUUGUGAACGUCUUCAACCUUGGCAUACAUUUCCAAAAAUUUUAUUACAAUAAAUUUCAUGUAUUCAUCCGGAAUCUGAAAAAAAUCUCUAAGAGUUUCAUCAUCUUCGAUGUUAAACUUAGAAUAAUAAGCAAACCUCUGCGGAGUCACAGAAUACGAAAAUAUACCUGUUAGUUUAAGGCUCACCGAACGUUUCCUCACACUCAUGUUUUUACGUAAUGAUACCAAUUUAUCGUACUCCGUUGGAAGCGGAAAUUUAACAUGACACUGUGGAGGUGAAUUAUACCUCACAGAGUUAUUCUCCAUUACAACCUCAUUCCCCCCCCCCCCCCNNNNNNNNNNNNNNNNNNNNNNNNNNNNNNNNNNNNNNNNNNNNNNNNNNNNNNNNNNNNNNNNNNNNNNNNNNNNNNNNNNNNNNNNNNNNNNNCCCCCCCCAAAUAUAAUAAAAUCCUUAUUUUGGCUCUUCAGAUAUUAUAUAAAAAUGUUUGAUAACAAGAAGAGAAGUAUGAACGGAAGUUUGUAGGAAUGUUUUGAAUGGAUCUUCAUAAAAUUCGAACACCUUUAAAUAAGGCAAGUCCUAGCUUGGGGUGCAUAAUAUUUUUAAUGUAAAACCCAGUAUAUACCACGCUUUAUGUAUUUGAAUUACUGUUAUGUUAGUUAUUCGCAGAACACUUAUUGGUGGGCCCAAAAAUUAAUGUAAAACGCAUUAUAAUACUACAUUUUAGUAAAACGUAGUAUUAUACUACAUUUUACUUUAAAAACGAAUAUUGUCGGUUAUCUAAGAAUAGGGUAUAUUGGUGGGUCCAAAUUGAAGUUAUUACAAUGUGUUUUAUUAAAAUAUAAUAUUAUACUGCAUUUUACAUUAACGGCUAAUUUUUCGUUAAAUUAAAAGACAGUCAAAUAUUGUGUUUUAGUAAAAAGUAUAACUUUUUAAAACUAUAUAAUAGUAUUUUAAGUCCAAAACAUCAUUAUUUAGUAGGGGUUCAUCGGGCGGAUUGGGCGGCUUUUUACUCUUAACAGUUUGGCUUAACGGUUAUCGGCUUUUAAAUGUAUUCAUCUGUUAGCCACCCGAUAAGAUAACAGGCGGAUUGGUAUCGGGUUAGCUCUUAUCGGGCGGUUACUGGACGGUUUAUCGGUUUAAUACCUAUGGAGGUGAUCGAAAAGCUUAUACCGAAUUACAAUACUUGUACAAUACUAAAAGCCUAAAAAGCAGAAGACAAUUACAAAUUGUACACAUUUUCUGUCCGUAGACAGUUUUUGUAUGACUUUUUUUAUAGGCGGGAAUUCGCGUUAAGGUUCGAACUAUGAUUUUCUCCUAAGCAGCACUAGUUACAAGUAUCAAGGCCAUUGUAAUGUGUUAUGUAUAGCUGAGAAAUUUACUGCUAAAGCAGCCUGAAGGAAAAAUAAUUUAUAGUAUCCUUGAUCUAUUGAAUGAUCUUUAUAAUUUCUCCACACAAAAAAAAAUAGUUAGCAAUUCCCCUAUGUUUAAAACAAUACGAAACCUAAUUUGAUUAAAAACUAGGAAACAUAUUCCUAUAUAAUCUAACUAUAAAACAAGGCUAGACAUGACCAGAAGAAACUAGUGACUGUCAAAUAUUAAAUAACUUAUUAGGUUUCUACUAACUUUGAAUUAUUCUACCAACACCGGAGAGACUGAGAAUGAGAAGGAAAAAGUGAAAUUCCAGGAUAAAUUUUAAAAAUUUAUCAUAUAAUUAUGUAAGUAAAAAUAAAUUUCGGAGAGACUAAGAAUGAGAAGGAAAAAGCGAAAUUCCGGGAUAAAUUUUGAAAAUUUGUCAAUAUUAUCACAAAGAUGAAUCUACUAGGCAAUUUUCUGUAGAUAGUUCACCUUUUAUUCCUUCCUAAGGGAAAUGAGCUUGUGAAUUGAAUCAGACAACAGGUGAUCUUUGUGAACGAAUGUAUCCGUCAACCAUGAAGCUCCUCUUCUUCUGAUGUUACGAUUCAGUAAAAGCAAGACAUCAAACGAGCAUGUGAACUUCAGCAGGCAUUGUCCAAAAAAGAUGGGAAACGAUGCUUAUAGCCAAUAGUGAUGUGAUAGACAUAGACUACAUUUCAAUGUGCACGAAAUGGUUUCUUAGAAGAAGAAUGGAAAAUUAGGGGGGAAGAAAUCACAUCUUUAAAAAGUAUCUAAAGCUCAAUAAUUAUCAGGUGAAAAAAUUAUUUCCAGAGAGUAAAUAACUCCAUUUUAACUAUAACUCUGCAACAUUUUGAUACCUAGUUUACAAGAGCUUUGAGAUUUUGUCUCAUUUUUUUGUACUGUACACACAAGAAGACGACGAGUGUAUUAAGAGACGAGAUGACGAUAGGGUGACCGGCGACUGGUGGAAGUAGACGACGACAAGCGAGCGGACGCGGAGACUGGAGAGGAUUGGUGGUUGGCGGCUGCUGCUUUAAUAGUGUUAGGGUUUCUCUAGAG
This 5911-nucleotide long non-coding RNA is filed under the name Nicotiana benthamiana. RNAcentral's name for it is "long non-coding RNA (NBEN_LNC035810)". Lineage: Eukaryota; Viridiplantae; Streptophyta; Magnoliopsida; Solanales; Solanaceae. The record is from RNAcentral.